Molecule: non-coding RNA, 1428 nt
Organism: Lepisosteus oculatus (spotted gar)
Lineage: Eukaryota; Metazoa; Chordata; Actinopteri; Semionotiformes; Lepisosteidae
Source: RefSeq, a predicted model, not a curated record
CGCAGAAACAUGUCCCCUGACACAGGAGCGGCCCUCGCCUCCUCUUGCUCCGGUCCCACUCAGCGGGACAAAGCGAGACACUCCUGGGGCCGCCAGGGGGGCUCACGGAGAGGCCCAGAGGGCGUGAGGGGACUGGACACUGCCAGUCUGCGGUCACUCUGAGCUGGGCAGGGAGGAGCAGCGCUGGACGCUAGGAGCUGUGUCCCACAGCGACUGCAGAUUGUUCCGGCUGGCUGGGUCAGCGAACACGGAUCGAGCCUCUUGACGUCUUCUGACCUGGCUGGGUGACACCACAGGCGAGCCGUGCCCUUGACAAUUGACAAGUACUGUAUAUAGCGCCUUUCAUGCUGAAGCGUCCCACAGUGCUUUGCACAGAGGAGGGGACCCAUCUCGCCCCCCACUCAAGUGCACAGAGAUCGGGGAGGAGAGAGAAACUGCUGCUCUAGGUGAUUUUAGGGGUCAACACCCCUGUUCUUACAGUGAGCGUCCUGGGAUAGAUACUGACCAGUACAGUUGCCACCUACUGGUCUAGCAACACCACUUACACUUACUGGGCUCCUGUCCCAGGCCUGACCUGGCCUGGCACUGCCGAGUAAGUCAGGCCAACAGGUGCUGACGUUGUGUCUGGAAAAAGACAGUGUUGGACACCUGCUUCAGAAACUGUGCUGUUAAGGGUCUCGGAGUUGAACAGGGAUCUGUGUCCACAGAAACAUCAGCACACCCUGCUGAGGGCACAGCCCACAGAGGGCACUGCCCAGAGGGGUGCACUGUAUGAUCCUGAGAGGACAUGCCCAGAGGGGUGUAUUGUACAAUCCUGUCAAGGGUACAGCCCAGAGAGGUGUACUGUAUGACCCUGCUGAGGGUACUUCCCACAGAGGGUACUGCCCAGAGGGGCGUACUGCACAAUCAUGUCAAGGGUACUGCCCAGAGAGGUGUACUGUAUGACCCUGCUGAGGGUACUUCCCACAGAGGGUACUGCCCAGAGGGGCGUGCUGUACGGACUGCUCACAGAUAAAACUGCUCGUGUUGCAGUCUGCUGCGCCCAAGCUGAGAUGUUGGGGCCGCGGGGCUGGGGUUCACUGUGCUGGUGGUGCUCUUCCUGUCUGAGCACAAUCACAAGCCAGUGAGGUUUGCAGAGAGCUGGCCGCAGAGCUGUACCUGCUGGGCACAGGCUGGUCCUCGGGCAGAGCGCUGGACCUGCUGCUGAGAUGGAUGAUGGGACAGCGGUGCUCUCAGAACUGCCUCCUGGAGACGAGGACACAGGAAGUGCUCAGGCUUGGACACAGACUGGUGCCCGGCUGCAGCAGUAAAGUCGGACAGACAGGCCUCCUGCCCGCAGACCCAGCAGCUGAAAACAAAUCACGUGGACUGUGUUGUUGUGGUACCACUUUGUAUUGGAUUGUAAACAUUAAAUCAAUAAAAAAGACA